RNAcentral lists this ribosomal RNA (1173 nucleotides) under Bacillus halotolerans. Its description in RNAcentral is "bacterial SSU rRNA". It matches the Rfam family "Bacterial small subunit ribosomal RNA", at positions 37 to 1179 of the family's 1533-position model. The record is from RNAcentral. Lineage: Bacteria; Bacillati; Bacillota; Bacilli; Caryophanales; Bacillaceae.
AAACGGCGUCUAUACAUGCAGUCGAGCGGACAGAUGGGAGCUUGCUCCCUGAUGUUAGCGGCGGACGGGUGAGUAACACGUGGGUAACCUGCCUGUAAGACUGGGAUAACUCCGGGAAACCGGGGCUAAUACCGGAUGCUUGUUUGAACCGCAUGGUUCAAACAUAAAAGGUGGCUUCGGCUACCACUUACAGAUGGACCCGCGGCGCAUUAGCUAGUUGGUGAGGUAAUGGCUCACCAAGGCAACGAUGCGUAGCCGACCUGAGAGGGUGAUCGGCCACACUGGGACUGAGACACGGCCCAGACUCCUACGGGAGGCAGCAGUAGGGAAUCUUCCGCAAUGGACGAAAGUCUGACGGAGCAACGCCGCGUGAGUGAUGAAGGUUUUCGGAUCGUAAAGCUCUGUUGUUAGGGAAGAACAAGUACCGUUCGAAUAGGGCGGUACCUUGACGGUACCUAACCAGAAAGCCACGGCUAACUACGUGCCAGCAGCCGCGGUAAUACGUAGGUGGCAAGCGUUGUCCGGAAUUAUUGGGCGUAAAGGGCUCGCAGGCGGUUUCUUAAGUCUGAUGUGAAAGCCCCCGGCUCAACCGGGGAGGGUCAUUGGAAACUGGGGAACUUGAGUGCAGAAGAGGAGAGUGGAAUUCCACGUGUAGCGGUGAAAUGCGUAGAGAUGUGGAGGAACACCGUGGCGAAGGCGACUCUCUGGUCUGUAACUGACGCUGAGGAGCGAAAGCGUGGGGAGCGAACAGGAUUAGAUACCCUGGUAGUCCACGCCGUAAACGAUGAGUGCUAAGUGUUAGGGGGUUUCCGCCCCUUAGUGCUGCAGCUAACGCAUUAAGCACUCCGCCUGGGGAGUACGGUCGCAAGACUGAAACUCAAAGGAAUUGACGGGGGCCCGCACAAGCGGUGGAGCAUGUGGUUUAAUUUCGAAGCAACGCGAAGAACCUUACCAGGUCUUGACAUCCUCUGACAAUCCUAGAGAUAGGACGUCCCCUUUCGGGGGGCAGAGUGACAGGUGGUUGCAUGGUUUGUUCGUCAGCUUCGUUGUCGUGAGAUUGUUUGGGUUUAAGUUCCCGCAACGAGCGCACCUUUGAUUCUUAGUUUGCCAGCAUUUCAGUUUGGUCAACUCUUAAGGUGAACUUGACUGGAUGAAUCAACCGGAAGGCAAUGU